GUGCUUGCUUUGGCAGCACGGGCUAAAAUUGGAAUGAAACAGAAAAGAUUAGCAUGGCCCAUGAGCAAGGAUGACACACACAUUUGGGAAGCAUUCCAUAUUAUU
Molecule: small nuclear RNA, 105 nt
Filed under: Dasypus novemcinctus (nine-banded armadillo)
Lineage: Eukaryota; Metazoa; Chordata; Mammalia; Cingulata; Dasypodidae
Source: RNAcentral